UGAGGGUGUAGUAUAUUAUCAUACUUUACAUUGUUAACUUGAAGAUACAAAACGAUACAGCAUCAGAAAUUUCAAACUAUGUGGGGGAGACAAUUAGUAUUACUUGUGUUACUAAAAGAUGUGUUCAGCUACUCAGUCGAUGAUACCACAGAUAAUAAAAUCGUGGGUGGGCGUUACAUCGGCAUUGAAUAAGUUCCUUUUCAAGCUUUCGUGUUAACAGAUAAGAAUACUUGUGGAGGAGUCAUAUAUGAUGAAGAAUAUAUUGUGACUGCCGCACAUUGUCUCGAAGAUAUCAAAAGAGCUCAAGUAAGAGUGGGAUUUACCCAAUGGGAUGAUUCGGAAGAAAAAUAUCCAUACAUAAAUGUAACCUAUACCGUGCAUGAAAAAUAUAACAAUCCUGGAAAGAAUACUAAUUUUGAUUUUGAUGUAGCAGUCGUAAAAUUAUCAAAAAAGUUGAAGCUUGAUGGUGUUAAAAUAGCCAAAGCCACCUUCGUCAAACCAGGAAAGGAGCUUGCUGAUGGUACAAACUGUACAGCGUCUGGAUGGGGCGCUACAAGAGAAUACGGGCGACCCUCUGCGUUUUUAAAGGCAACCUUUCUUGAGAAAGUAAAUUAUACUAAAUGUUUAAAAGACUACAAAAAAUAUCUUACACCUAGAAUGGUCUGUGCAGAAGCUCCUGUUGAUCGUUCCACUCAAUUUUCGAAUAUAUGUCGGGGUGAUUCCGGCGGUCCCCUCUUUGUCACUAGUACCAAGGAAGUCUGCGGAUUGUCGUCUUUUCUUUACGAUUGCAAUGAAUAUAUGCCUGCAGUUUUUACUAACUUAGCGGAUCCUGGUAUUAGCGAAUGGAUUAAAAAUCAUACACAAAGCGAAAAUUAAAUCAAGAUAAAUUCAAGAGAAUAUUUCCUUUGAUUAUUUUUCAUUUCAUUUUAUUCGUAUCUUAAAUAUGUGUGUGUGACAAUAUAAUUUAAAAAUAG
Long non-coding RNA from Leptidea sinapis, 974 nucleotides. RefSeq lists it as uncharacterized. The record is from RefSeq and is a predicted model, not a curated record. Lineage: Eukaryota; Metazoa; Arthropoda; Insecta; Lepidoptera; Pieridae. The transcript is spliced from 6 exons.